Molecule: long non-coding RNA, 659 nt
Organism: Lingula anatina
Lineage: Eukaryota; Metazoa; Brachiopoda; Lingulata; Lingulida; Lingulidae
Source: RefSeq, a predicted model, not a curated record
GUUGAGCGGGCACCUGCGUUAGACGUGUUUACAUCGAUUAUCCGUGUUGAAUACAGUAUCACGGCGAUGGAAGAUAAUUUCUUGUCAUAGUGAAAGCAAGGAGUAAUUGUUGCUAAACAAAACUUGUGCGAAAUUGUACAGGGGGCACUUUUAAAGUUUUUAGAUCAAAAUAUGCUUUUCUUGUAAGAUGUCCCAGUACCGCAUGGACAAAAUCGGCGCUGCUCUACCGAAACAUUUGGCUGUUCAAGGCAACUCGUGAAAGGUUGAAGGGACAAAUGUGUUCACAAAGUUGACAGAAGAAAAAUCCCAAUGAAGGACUCGCAGAAACUACACAUCAAUUUGUGAACAAUAAGCAAGGAUCAUAGAAUUUCAAGACAAUUUCAAAUGCUACUGAGAGUGACUAUUAUAUAAGGACAGAUUUAAAUGAAAUCGAUUUCUUCUAGUGUUAGUCAAACGUAUAAACUAACUUAUCAAUGGAUAUAUUAAUGUUUUCCAUCUUGUGAAUUUCCAAAAAUUAUGAAGAGUAAUUAAAAAAUAAUUACAGGUAAUUAUAGACAUCAGGAAGGAAGUGCAGGUGUUUGAAUAGCUGGCAAGAAUUGUGUAAGAUUUAGUUUUGAUUAAAAGUUUCUUUCAUUGAUCAGUUGAAUAAAAACCUUCAA